AUUAUUGAUCAUUGCAAGUGAAAUUUUGAGAGAUUGUUUCUAGUAUUUAGGUGAUGAAAACAUUUGGUAAUAUUGCUUUGGUUCAAAGAAUUUUAUGUCUUUAUCUUUCUAGAAGAAAGCAAUUAUAUAUAUAUUUUUGCUAAAUUACAUAAACAUUUAAUUACAUCAGGUUCUAAUUUAAACAUGUAUUACUCACUUGAGGCCACUUUUAAAUAUUCAUACUCUUUGACAUAAGAUGCUUUGUAUAUUUCUCAUUUCUUUUAGUUCUUAGUAAGUCAGCUUUAAAAAGUACCUGCCAACCAGAACCUUCCAUAUUCUGGACUAAAUCUUGCUCUUCGGAUUAUACUUCAGUGCAGUAACUGUGGAUUUGCAAUUUUGAAGGGGAGAUAGUAGCUAUUAUAUUUUACACUUGCUUGAUGUGAUAACUCUAAAGACUUUUUAACUGAUAAAAGCGCACAUGGCUAUUUUGAUACACAAAGUUGUGUUUGCUACUUUAGAAGCUUUUGUGGCAGAAUUGUAAUCUAAUUUUCAUACCUUGUAUUUCUGAAUCACAACAAAAAAAUAAAUGGGGAACAAGACUUA
Molecule: long non-coding RNA, 582 nt
Filed under: Homo sapiens (human)
Lineage: Eukaryota; Metazoa; Chordata; Mammalia; Primates; Hominidae
Description: non-protein coding lnc-BCL2-1:2
Source: RNAcentral